CCCCAUCUGUCGCUGCUUCGUGGCCUCCUCGUUUCUCAUCUUGAAGGCUUCUUCUACUCGGGCAUAUCCUUCGGCCCGAGCUAGCAAAUCAGCAAAGUCCCUGGGAUAUUUUUUUUCCAGGAAAAAUAGAAGAUCGUUCUUUUGAAGACCGCCCUUCAGGGUGGCCAUCACGAUCGAUUAGUCCAAGUUUCGGACCUCCAGCAUGGCGACGUUAAAGUGGUUGACGUAGGCUCGGAUGGAUUC
This 243-nucleotide long non-coding RNA is filed under the name Elaeis guineensis (African oil palm). Its description in RNAcentral is "long non-coding RNA (EGUI_LNC050614)". Lineage: Eukaryota; Viridiplantae; Streptophyta; Magnoliopsida; Arecales; Arecaceae. The record is from RNAcentral.